Long non-coding RNA from Cavia porcellus (domestic guinea pig), 3713 nucleotides. RefSeq lists it as uncharacterized. NCBI's taxonomy places the organism in Eukaryota, Metazoa, Chordata, Mammalia, Rodentia, Caviidae. The transcript is spliced from 2 exons. The record is from RefSeq and is a predicted model, not a curated record.
CUUUCGCGAGUUCCGGAACCUAAUGACCGCUACACUGCAGGAACCACCCUGAGGCACCGAGGCGUCUUCCGCAAGGUUCAAGUUGCUUAUGGGUGACUAAAACAGAAAAAAGUGAAACUGUGGAUAAGGGGACUUCCAUAAAGUAAGGCAAAGGUCAUCACUUAGCCAUCCAUGAGACCUCAGUGGUUCAUCCAGGGUAGCAUUGAAGACGUGAUAUUGCUCAUCCCCCAAGCACUGUCAGAUCUAUGAGAGUGUUGGUAACUGCCUUCCCUACUUUCACUCAGUGUGGAAACCAUAUGGGUACAGAAUCUGAACGUGCCCGUACAUUUAUUUCAUAAGAAUGAAAUAUCUUCCUCUCUUUCUGGUUUAAUGAUGUUUAGUUCUCAUCCUAUGAUCAUGGAAGAGUGCCAAGAGACUAUCAGCUAAUAGAUGAUCUACAAUAUAUCUUGUAUAUUUAUGAUCUUAGUAAGUGUGUUACUAAUGAAAAGAGUGCAAGGAUAUACACCCAUAACUGUGAGACAAGUGAAAGUACAGAGAAGAGAAAUACCAAGACAGUUAUUUGGGAACCAAGAAGACAGUUAUUUGUGAAGCAACCAGAGUUCAAAGGGCAGAGCAGAUAGAGAUUGGAGGAGCUGGCAAGAUGGCAGCUGUGUGAUUCUGGAUGCACCAAGAGGGCAAUGUUGAGAAAGAUUAAAUAUACAAAGACUUCACUAGGUAAACUACAUGUAUGAAAGGAAAGAGAAAGAAGGGAGAUCCUUCAGGCCAUGGAACAAAUUUGACUGUGAAUGAGAAAGAAAGGGAGAGAAGGUUGAGUGGAAACAUCUAAAACUUCUGGCCAUGGAGGAACCAGUAUGGAAUCACUGUGACAAAUUCAGCCAACAGUCUCAAGUGUCCCUGGAACAAGUCUACCUCAGUCUCUCCAUUACACUUAGGUAUUGGCAGUAAGCAGCUCUUGGGCGUCAGAGGUGAUUUUAAUGCAUAGAGCCUGGGGUGCCAUCAGUUAAGUUCCAUAUAGUAGUAGAAAGAUCUAUAAGGUAAAUUGACAAAGCUCUCACAUUGGCUUAACCAAGAAUAUAGAUAGAAGAGCUCACCAGAACGCAAGCUAUUGGCAAGUACAGGGAUCAGAAAAAAGCAAAUGUAGAAAUCAGCUCUGAGGAUCAGUGGAAAAUAAGUGGAUUCCAUUGCCACAGAUGUUAUUUUUAUCCUGUGAACUGGAAGAAGAGGUCAGUUUCAUGCCGAUCUCCUGAGGGAAGACAUCUUGUGAAGAGCAUCUCAUUUUUUAAAAAAACCUAUUCUUUAUCUGAUAAAUAUGGCAGGCUUCCUGCUUAAGCUUGCAUGAUAGAUGAGCAUACUGGCAGUGGCUGAGACAGAAGGGAUGGCUCAGAUUGUGGAAGCCCAAGUGACUAAAACACUAGAGGAAACAGAAGGCAUCAUUAAACACUACAACCUCCUCUGAAAAUAGAAGGUAUAUAUAUAUAUAAAGAAAUUUGGUUCCUGAGAACCAUGUCUACCCUAUUUUUAAAGCCAAGGGAGAUUGGAUUGAAAAGGAAUACUGAGAAGUGAAGCAAAGGCCUCACUGUGCCUUCCUUAAAACACUGGUCGAUUCCAAAAGAAUUGGAAAAUGCAAAAAAUCUGUUGUACGUCAGCUGAAAUAAUCAUGUGUGUUCUUAAAACACAAGAUAUAGACACUGUCUCAGUUACUGUGGUAGACUGACAACUGCUGGUCAAUCUGAAACACCCCACUGAACUGAAUCGUUGUGGUGUUGGGUGUGGAUGGCCCCCUCAGGAUUGCUGCCAUCAACAUAAAUAGGAGAACUGGAGAGGAGGAAGUGUGAUGUUGCUGGUUCUCCUGUUGUGGUUGGUUUUUCUGGAGGAGGUUGUUGAACUUUUUUCCUGUUAUGAACUUGGUUCUUCUCAUUGCCAGAGAGGCUCAGAACCUUGUUAUCACUGAGAAUGGCUUCAGUUCACUUUGGGGGAGCUCUUCUUACUCUGAGCAUCACCUCCUGGCUCCAGUGCAGAACACUUAGCCUACUGGCACAGAUCCUUCAACCCAUAGGCACAGACUUUGUAGUUUCCACUGCUGACUUUUGGGCCUUGUCAGCACAUACCUGGUAAACCAAUUUGCAUGUGACACUGUCGUGGGCUCUAGGACUCCAGAUGGACUUGUGAGAGCCAUUGUCAUUGGCUCCAGGUUUCCAUCUGGACUCAUGCAGGAUACUGUCAUGGGAUCCAGGGCCUCAGCUGGAUAUUUUGGAUCUUCAGUGUGUGGACAGAUUUCCUGAACAUUUUGUGUUUGAUUUCUUGGGUGACUACUAUAAAAUAAUCAAGAUCCCAGAAAUUCAACAUAAGAUCAGAAUAUUAAAAGCUGUUAGAAAAAAGAAGCAUGUAUAAAGGAAAACCUAUCAGCAUCACCACAGACUUCUCAACACAAACCAUUUAAUUAAGAAGAGCUGGGAAUAAAGUAUUUCAAGUCCUGAAAGGAAACAACUUCCAACCCAGAUUCAUGUAUCAUGCAAAACUAUCUUUCAAAAUUAAUGGAGAAACAAGAUACUUACAUGACAAAAAACAACUGAAGGAAUUCAUGACCACCAAACCAACCAUGUAAAAAAUACUGAAGAACAUUCUAGAGAGAGAUAAAAAUAGACCAUGGUUCCAGGAACAGAGAAGACAGUAGAAUGGAUGGGGAAAAUUAGGCAGUGAAUAGCACAAAAAUAGCAUGGCAGAGAUGAGCCAGUGCCUGUUGACCAUAACUAUUAAUACAUAUGACCUUAAUUCUCCAAUAAAAAGAAACACAGGCAGCGUGGAUCAGGAGACAAGAUCCAGCAAUAUGCUUUACACAAGAAAUGCAUUUGACUUGAAAGGGGGUUCAUAGACUGAAAGUCAAAGGGGAGAGAACAAUACUCUGUGAGACAGAGACCCCGAAAGAAAUGUAAGUAGCUUGCCCAUCGGCUGCAGACUGCAUAAGAAAGCCAUGGCACUUUUAUACAGUGGAAAGCUACUAAGCCAUAAAGACAGAUAACCCUGAGGCUCUUUGUAGGUAAAUGGAUACUACUUGAGAUCAUACUCAUAAAUGCAAUGGUUCAGAGUCACAUGGGUGAAUAUUGUGUUGUCUCCCUAGUAUGAAGAACUAGAGGAGUUGGUGGGAUCCAAAAUGCACAGUACAUACUGUAAAAGUGAACAGGGAAGAAGUACCUAAAGAAAGAACUCAGUAGUCAUUCUAAAUCUAUUAUGGUGAUUUGAAACCCAUAUUUUUCUCAUUGUUCUAUUUAGUUUGGUAUUUUUCUGUUUUGGUUUGUCUAAUCUUAUUGUAUUUAAUGGUAUGGACAGCUAUUUCAAAGAUAACAAAAUAUAUUAUGGUAGCUAUUAUUGAUUUCCUAUUAGCAUGUUUGGAAGCCCUGUAUAGCUUUCAUUGUUUUGUUUUGACUGCUUUUAUUAUAUUUUGUUUUGUUUGAUUGUAUCAUGUCUGAUGGUAUAGGCAACUACUUUGAAGAUAACAAGUUGCAGUAUGGUACCCACUAUGGGUUCCCUAUUAUUUUGUUUUGAAGUCCGGUACUGCUUCCAUUGUUUUGUUUUUAUUGGUUUUCUUCUGUACUCUUUUGUUGUAUUUUAUUAUGCCUGAUGUUAUGGGCAAUUCUUUUGAUGAUACCAAGAGGCAUUACAAUAGCCUUUAUUGAUUUUCUUGUAUUUUGUUUUAAAAUCAUGUACCAUGUUCA